This 497-nucleotide ribosomal RNA is filed under the name uncultured bacterium. RNAcentral describes it as "partial 16S ribosomal RNA". It matches the Rfam family "Bacterial small subunit ribosomal RNA", at positions 28 to 507 of the family's 1533-position model. The record is from RNAcentral.
GAUGAACGCUGGCGGCGUGCCUAAUACAUGCAAGUCGAGCGAACGGACGAGAAGCUUGCUUCUCUGAUGUUAGCGGCGGAUGGGUGAGUAACACGUGGAUAACCUACCUAUAAGACUGGGAUAACUUCGGGAAACCGGAGCUAAUACCGGAUGAUAUUUUGAACCGCAUGGUUCAAAAGUGAAAGACGGUCUUGCUGUCACUUAUAGAUGGAUCCGCGCUGCAUUAGCUAGUUGGUAAGGUAACGGCUUACCAAGGCAACGAUGCAUAGCCGACCUGAGAGGGUGAUCGGCCACACUGGAACUGAGACACGGUCCAGACUCCUACGGGAGGCAGCAGUAUGGAAUCUUCCGCAAUGGGCGAAAGCCUGACGGAGCAACGCCGCGUGAGUGAUGAAGGUCUUCGGAUCGUAAAACUCUGUUAUUAGGGAAGAACAUAUGUGUAAGUAACUGUGCACAUCUUGACGGUACCUAAUCAGAAAGCCACGGCUAACUACGUG